CAAAAUUAUGGCAUAUGAAAAACAAAGUAUAAUAUGAAAUGGAGUAGCUAAACAAGAUGCUAAUCUAUGAUUCUUGAAACAGAGAGCAUAUUGGAAGAAUGGUUCCAAUUUUGAAACCAGGUUGGAUUGAAAAUAUCUUCUAUCUAGGAAAGGCCCCAAAUAGUUAAGCACUUGACCUAACCUACUCUCAUCAGUGAGGAAGAAUCCAUGAUAAAUGUUAGAAAACUAAGAGCAAGUUUAUCUCCAUUUCAUGGCAGUUUCCAAUGCAGUUUCAAUAAUUACUAUUUUGUGUUGGUACUAAUAAUAAGAUCUCAGCGGGCUUGGUACUGAGAUAUCUCACACUACUACGUGUUUUACAAUAUCACCGACAAAUAAAUCAUAUUUGUAGAAUAAUAUAUGUUUUAUUUAAAUAGAAAUUUUUCUAUGUUUCCUCAGUUUUUUUUAAAAUUUCCUUUAUUUUUAGUGAUUUUAAAAUAUUUUUUAGAUUUAUUUUUUAUACUUUCAGAUUUAACGCAUAUAAUCAUUUGGGCUUGUGCUUAAAGACAAAUACCAAAAUCACUUCUGAAAAAAGAUAAGCAUAUGUCUUCGACAACAGUUCUAAAUGGUUAU
RNAcentral lists this long non-coding RNA (609 nucleotides) under Phoenix dactylifera (date palm). Its description in RNAcentral is "long non-coding RNA (PDAC_LNC020696)". The record is from RNAcentral. Lineage: Eukaryota; Viridiplantae; Streptophyta; Magnoliopsida; Arecales; Arecaceae.